CGUAUCACCCAAGACAACUUUGCGGAGUUGACGAUUGACGGAGCGAAGCGACGUCAAAGCGUUCAUUAAAGUCGAGUUGGCUUAGGGAUACGUUCGUUGGGUAGGGGAGCGUUCUGUAAGCCUGUGAAGGUAUGCUGUGAGGCAUGCUGGAGGUAUCAGAAGUGCGAAUGCUGACAUAAGUAACGAUAAAGCGGGUGAAAAGCCCGCUCGCCGGAAGACCAAGGGUUCCUGUCCAACGUUAAUCGGGGCAGGGUGAGUCGACCCCUAAGGCGAGGCCGAAAGGCGUAGUCGAUGGGAAACGGGUUAAUAUUCCCGUACUUGGUGUUACUGCGAAGGGGGGACGGAGAAGGCUAUGUUGGCCGGGCGACGGUUGUCCCGGUUUAAGCGUGUAGGUGUGUGUUCCAGGUAAAUCCGGUUCACUUUAACACUGAGGCGUGACGACGAGGCACUACGGUGCUGAAGCAACAAAUGCCCUGCUUCCAGGAAAAGCCUCUAAGCAUCAGGUAACAUCAAAUCGUACCCCAAACCGACACAGGUGGUCAGGUAGAGAAUACCAAGGCGCUUGAGAGAACUCGGGUGAAGGAACUAGGCAAAAUGGUGCCGUAA
RNAcentral lists this ribosomal RNA (606 nucleotides) under Salmonella enterica subsp. enterica serovar Indiana. Its description in RNAcentral is "partial 23S ribosomal RNA". It matches the Rfam family "Bacterial large subunit ribosomal RNA", at positions 1154 to 1733 of the family's 2925-position model. Lineage: Bacteria; Pseudomonadati; Pseudomonadota; Gammaproteobacteria; Enterobacterales; Enterobacteriaceae. The record is from RNAcentral.